GCCAGGAUGGUGGAAUGGUAGACACGCAAGUCUCAAAAACUUGUGGAGGUAAAACUCCAUGUGGGUUCGACUCCCUCUCCUGGCA
This 85-nucleotide transfer RNA is filed under the name Candidatus Levyibacteriota bacterium. RNAcentral describes it as "tRNA-Leu". It matches the Rfam family "tRNA". From Rfam's summary of the family: Transfer RNA (tRNA) molecules are approximately 80 nucleotides in length. The record is from RNAcentral. Lineage: Bacteria; Candidatus Levyibacteriota.